Molecule: non-coding RNA, 54 nt
Organism: Salmo salar (Atlantic salmon)
Lineage: Eukaryota; Metazoa; Chordata; Actinopteri; Salmoniformes; Salmonidae
Source: Rfam
AAUGCACCAAUUUGUAAGUCGCUCUGGAUAAGGACGUCUGCUAAAUGACUUAAA